AUGAAGCUUGCCGUGGAGGUCGCGGACGCGGCGGAGCUGUCGGCCAAGGACGGCGCGUCCUCAUGCAACGCGUUCGUGGAGGUGGAGUUCGACGGGCAGCGCCAGCGCACGGCCACCCGCCCCGGCGACCUCUCCCCGCAGUGGAACGAGACGCUCGUCUUCGACGUGCGCGACCCAUCCCGCCUCGCCGCCCUCACCGUCGACGUGUCUGUACAGCACGACCGCAGCCUCAACGACCACAACGCACUCCGCCCCCACGUCUUCCUCGGCCGCGUCCGCGUCUCCGGCGAGUCCGUCGCUCGCUCGCCCGACGAGGCCUUCCUGCAGCGCUUCCCGCUGGACAAGAGAGGGCUCUUCUCCCGCGUCUCCGGGGACAUCGCGCUCCGGCUCUACCUCCUCCCCGACGCGCGGGACGGCGAUCGCGUCGCGCAGGACCAUGCUGCUGCUGCUGCUCCGGCCAUGGACACGGGCGGUGGUCAGCAGCAGCCUUCCCAACCCGCCGCUGCCAAUUUGGACCCCGAGAGGAUGGUCAGGAACGUCUUCUCCGGCGAGGCUUCGGCAGGAGCCACAGCUGCUUCUGCCUCAGGCGGGCAGGCGGUGGGGACCAAGGGGAAGAGCGGCCACGACACGCGCGAGUUCCGCUCCAUUCCGGCAUCGUCAGGCGGUGGCAACGAGCCUCGACGCCACACGCUCCACGCCAUGGCGGCGCCGCCCCCGCCGGCGGGGCAGACGGUGGUCGUGCCGAAGCCCGCCGGGCCUGCCGGGGCACCGCCUCCGGGCUCGCAGUACGGCCUCACCGAGACGAAGCCCCCGCUGCCGGCCAAGAUGGGGCCGCGCUCUGGGACGGCCAAGAUCGCGUCCACCUACGACAUGGUGGAGCCGAUGUCGUACCUCUACGUUACCGUCGUCAAGGCGCGCGACCUGCCCUCCAUGGACCUCACCGGCGCGCUGGACCCGUACGUGGAGGUGAAGCUGGGCAACUUCAAGGGCGUCACGCGGCACCUGGAGAAGAACCAGAACCCGGUGUGGCGGCAGACGUUCGCCUUCUCCGGCGCCCACCUCCAGGCCAGCCAGCUCGAGGUCAUCGUCAUGGACAAGGACACGCUCCGGGACGACUUCGUCGGCCGCGUCGUCUUCGACAUGUCCGACAUCCCCAGCCGCCUGCCGCCGGACAGCCCGCUGGCGCCGCAGUGGUACAGCCUCGCGGACGCCCACGGCGAGCGGUUCCGGCACGGCCACCCCCUCGGCGAGAUCAUGCUCGCCGUCUGGCUCGGCACGCAGGCCGACGAGGCGUUCCCGGAGGCGUGGCACUCGGACGCGCACUCGCUGUCGCGGGAGGGGCUCACCAACACGCGCUCCAAGGUGUACUACUCGCCCAAGCUCAUCUACCUCAAGGUCUCCGUCAUCGCGGCGCAGGACCUCAUCGCCGCCGACAAGGGCCGGCCGCUCGCGCCCACCAUCGCCAAGAUACAGAUGGGCAGCCAGAUCAGGCGGACGCGGCCGGGGCAGCCGCAGGGGUCGGCGAACCAGGCGUGGAACGAGGAGUUCAUGUUCGUGGCCAGCGAGCCGUUCGAGGACCCGCUGGUGGUCACCGUGGAGGAGAAGGUCGCCGCCGGCCGCGACGAGCCCAUCGGCCGCAUCAUCAUCCCCGUGGCGUCGCCGUACGUGCCGCGCAACGACCUUGCCAAGUCCAUACCAUCCAAGUGGUUCAACCUGUCGCGCGGCAUGACGGUGGACGAGGCGGCGGCGGAGGCUACGACGGGGACCAAGCACCGGGAGCACUCCAAGACCUUCGCCAGCAAGAUCCACCUCAGGAUGAGCCUGGAGACGGCGUACCACGUCCUCGACGAGUCCACGCACUACAGCAGCGACCUGCAGCCGGCGGCGAAGAAGCUGCGGAAGAGCGCCAUCGGCGUGCUCGAGGUCGGCAUCCUCAGCGCACGCGGCCUCGGCGGCAACAAGAGCCCCUACUGCGUGGCCAAGUACGGCUCCAAGUGGGUGCGCACGCGCACGCUGCUCGGCACCGCCGCGCCGGCGUGGAACGAGCAGUACACCUGGGAGGUGUUCGACCUGAGCACCGUCAUCACCGUCGCCGUCUUCGACAACAACCACCUCCACCACAGCGACGGGAAGGACCAGAGGAUCGGCAAGGUGCGCGUCAGGCUCGCCACCCUCGAGUCCGACCGCGUGUACACCCACUACUACCCGCUCAUGGCGCUUACCCCCGGCGGCCUGAAGAAGACCGGCGAGCUCCACCUCGCCGUCCGGUUCACGUGCACGGCGUGGGCCAACAUGCUGGCGCAGUACGGGCGGCCGCUGCUGCCCAAGAUGCACUACAGCAACCCCAUCUCCGUGCUGCAGCUGGACUACCUCCGGUUCCAGGCGAUGCAGAUGGUGGCGACGCGGCUGGGCCGGUCGGAGCCGCCGCUGCACCGGGAGGUGGUGGAGUACAUGCUCGACGUGGACUCGCACAUGUUCAGCCUGCGGCGGAGCAAGGCCAACUUCUACCGCAUCACGUCGCUCUUCUCCGGCGUGGUCGCGGUCGGCAAGUGGUUCGACGGCAUCUGCAAGUGGAAGAACCCGCUGACGACGAUCCUGGUGCACGUUCUGUUUCUGAUACUGGUGUGCUACCCGGAGCUGAUCCUGCCGACGGUGUUCCUGUACCUGUUCAUGAUCGGGGUGUGGAACUACCGGCGGCGGCCGCGGAAGCCGCCGCACAUGGACACGGUGCUGUCGCACGCGGAGCAGGCGCACCCGGACGAGCUGGACGAGGAGUUCGACACGUUCCCGACGUCCAAGCCGUCGGACGUGGUGCGGAUGCGGUACGACCGGCUGCGCAGCGUGGCCGGCAGGGUGCAGACGGUGGUGGGCGACCUGGCGAUGCAGGGGGAACGCGCGCAGUCGCUGCUCAGCUGGCGCGACCCGCGGGCGACGGCCAUCUUCAUCACCAUGUCGCUCAUCGUGGCCGUGGUGCUCUACAUCACGCCGUUCCAGGUGGUGGCCGUGGUGUUGGGGCUCUUCAUGCUCCGCCACCCCCGGUUCCGGAGCAAGCAGCCGUCCGUGCCAUUCAACUUCUACAAGCGCCUCCCCGCCAAGGGUGACAUGCUCCUAUGA
Molecule: ribosomal RNA, 3114 nt
Filed under: Triticum aestivum (bread wheat)
Lineage: Eukaryota; Viridiplantae; Streptophyta; Magnoliopsida; Poales; Poaceae
Description: partial small subunit ribosomal RNA
Source: RNAcentral